CGCACUGGGCAUGAUAGUACGGCGAGUGAGCGGCACAGCUCAAUUUGAAAUCUGGCUUCGGCCCGAGUUGUAAUUUGCAGAGGAAGCUUUAGGCGCGGCACCUUCUGAGUCCCCUGGAACGGGGCGCCAUAGAGGGUGAGAGCCCCGUAUAGUUGGAUGCCUAGCCUGUGUAAAGCUCCUUCGACGAGUCGAGUAGUUUGGGAAUGCUGCUCAAAAUGGGAGGUAAAUUUCUUCUAAAGCUAAAUACCGGCCAGAGACCGAUAGCGCACAAGUAGAGUGAUCGAAAGAUGAAAAGCACUUUGAAAAGAGGGUUAAAUAGCACGUGAAAUUGUUGAAAGGGAAGCGCUUGUGACCAGACUUGCGCCGGGCGGAUCAUCCGGUGUUCUCACCGGUGCACUCCGCCCGGCUCAGGCCAGCAUCGGUUCUCGCGGGGGGAUAAAGGUCCUGGGAACGUAGCUCCUCCGGGAGUGUUAUAGCCCGGGGCGUAAUGCCCUCGCGGGGACCGAGGUUCGCGCAUCUGCAAGGAUGCUGGCGUAAUGGUCAUCAGCGACCCGUCUUGAACAACGGACCAA
RNAcentral lists this ribosomal RNA (572 nucleotides) under Chaetomium globosum. RNAcentral's name for it is "partial 28S ribosomal RNA". It matches the Rfam family "Eukaryotic large subunit ribosomal RNA", at positions 65 to 669 of the family's 3401-position model. The record is from RNAcentral. Lineage: Eukaryota; Fungi; Ascomycota; Sordariomycetes; Sordariales; Chaetomiaceae.